This is an RNA transcript of Physeter macrocephalus (sperm whale), 4362 nucleotides long. It is a transcript of the gene named autophagy related 14, with no coding region annotated. NCBI's taxonomy places the organism in Eukaryota, Metazoa, Chordata, Mammalia, Artiodactyla, Physeteridae. The transcript is spliced from 12 exons. The record is from RefSeq and is a predicted model, not a curated record.
AACAAAAUCCCACGUGACUGGCUCUGCUCUGAGGCCAUCAUGGCGUCUCCCAGUGGGAAAGGAUCCCGGGCGCCGGAGGCCCCUGGCUGCGGGCCCCAGCCCGUCGCCCGGGACCUGGUAGACUCCGUGGACGACGCGGAGGGGCUGUACGUGGCAGUCGAGCGGUGCCCACUGUGCAACACCACCCGCCGGCGGCUGACCUGUGCCAAGUGCGUCCAGAGCGGCGAUUUCGUCUACUUCGACGGCCGCGACCGUGAAAGGUUUAUAGACAAGAAGGAAAGGUUAAGCCAGCUUAAGAGCAAGCAAGAAGAAUUUCAAAAAGAAGUGUUAAAAGCUAUGGAAGGAAAAUGGAUAACAGAUCAGUUGAGAUGGAAAAUAAUGUCCUGCAAGAUGAGGAUUGAACAGCUGAAACAAACUAUAUGUAAAGGAAAUGAGGAAAUGAAGAAAAAUUCUGAAGGCCUCCUCAAAACCAAGGAAAAGAAUCAGAAACUUUACACUCGAGCACAACGGCAUCAGGAGAAAAAGGAGAAGAUUCAGAGGCACAAUCGCAAACUUGGUGACCUGGUAGAAAAAAAAAACACUGAUUUAAGAAGUCAUUAUGAGCGUCUGGCAAAUCUUCGGCGGUCUCACAUAUUAGAGCUCACCUCUGUCAUUUUUCCAAUCGAGGAAGUAAAGACAGGUGUGAGAGAUCCCACAGACGUGUCUUCAGAGAGUGACAGCGCCAUGACCUCCAGCACCGUGAGCAAGCUUGCCGAAGCCCGGAGAACAACUUACCUCUCGGGGAGAUGGGUCUGUGACGAUCACAACGGGGACACCAGCGUUAGCAUUACAGGGCCUUGGAUUAGCCUUCCCAACAACGGGGACUACUCUGCCUACUACAGUUGGGUGGAAGAGAAGAAAACCACGCAGGGGCCUGAUAUGGAGCAUAAUAACCCUGCUUACACGAUUAGCGCUGCGUUGUGCUAUGCGACUCAGCUGGUCAACAUUUUGUCUCAUAUACUCGACGUAAAUCUUCCCAAAAAGCUGUGCAACAGUGAAUUUUGUGGAGAAAACCUCAGCAAACAGAAAUUUACUCGAGCAGUGAAGAAACUAAAUACAAAUAUUCUUUACCUGUGCUUUUCUCAGCAUGUAAAUUUAGAUCAAUUACAACCACUGCAUACUCUCAGGAAUCUAAUGUACUUGGUCAGUCCGAAUGCUGAACACCUAGGCAGGUCAGGACCUUUUGAAGUACGAGCAGAUCUGGAGGAGUCCAUGGAGUUUGUGGAUCCCGGAGUUGCUGGAGAAUCAGAUGAGAGUGGAGACGAGCACGUAAGUGACGAGGAAACCGACCUGGGCACCGACUGGGAGAACCUGCCCAGCCCCCGGUUCUGUGACAUUCCUUCCCAGCCCGUGGAAGUGUCUGAGAGCCAGAGCACCCAGGCGUCCCCGCCCAUCGCGAGCAGCAGUGCUGGUGGUAUGAUCUCCUCGGCCGCGGCCUCCGUCACCUCCUGGUUUAAAGCUUACACUGGACACCGCUAACGAGCAGGGACCGAGCCGCACCAGAUCGGCCUGCGGAAAGCUCUUCCUCCGCGCCCUGGAAAUGGUCAAAGACCUGAAGAUAACUGAACACAGAUCCAAGCUGAACAAAAAGCCAAAGGAAAAGCAUUACAAUACCAUCAACUACUUAAGGGCAAUUCCCUGUCUGAUAUUUUAUAAAUACCCCAUUGGAUCAAGCACGGAACCCUUUACACACAGGAAGAGCUCCAUGAAAAGAACUACUGACACCCAACUGGGCCUUUCCCUGCCCAGGUCUCAUCCAGGGCCCCACCCACACCCAUCAAUGGUUACUAUAAGCCUUGCCUGAAUUCCCAGAACUACUCCCUUGGGACACUUACCGUGGUCUAUCUUGUCUUCAUCUCCCCUACUAUACUGUAAGCUCCUGAAAGGUAAGAAUACUCUUACUCCUUUCUGUAUCUCUCAUAGAGCAUGCAGCAAAGUGCCUUGCACAUGGCAAGGGUUUUCAUAAGCAUGAAUGUCAAACCUAAGGACUUAAAAGAAACCAGCCAAUCAGCAAGAACCUCUUAAAUGGAACAUUAUGAAUGUCUGACUAAUCAAUGCUUGGGCAGCCCAGGAAGUUGAUGCGAUUAAGCAACUCCACCCAUCAUUUCUUGAUCUAGCACCCUACUCUCUCAGAGAUGGGAGGUUCCUGAGGUGGAGACACAGAGACUCUCCACACCACUUUUCUGCAAAGCAAAAAUUAGUUUGGCUUGAGCAGCAGCUUUUUACCAGCGCUCUAGUUACCUAAAACAUUCCUAUGCAACAUCAGAUUUUAAAGAAAAUCCUACUCUCAGCCAUGCACAAACACACAGAGCCACAAUACUGUCACUUUAACUAGAAUAAAAACAAGUUUCAUUUUUUUCACACCAGACUAAUAAAAAGAAAUUAAAAAAAAAACAAAAAAUAAAACUUUCAUGUUACUAAUAACCUCCAGGACAGAACAACCUAGAUAUGCAGGCAUUCAGCUAUGAGUUAGGUAACCUCCCUCCUCAUUUUCAAAGCCCCAAACCCAUCCUUUAAAUACUAAAAUACAUAGACACUAAGUCCCAGCAAGAAACACUGUAAAGUCUCCCCAUGACUCUUUACUAUAUUAAACACAGCUGUCUAAGGUCAUGUUUACAUAUAGAUUUAAAAAAAAAAAAAAGCCAAACCAACAUCAGCAUUAACAAAGUAUAAUAAACAGCAUUAACAAAAUGUAUAAUGUAUAAUAAAUGUAUAAUAAAUUUCCAAACUAGAAAAGAAGAAGACACCAAGAAAUUUUUAAAACUUCCAUCUUUAAGGUAUAUAAAAACAUAAAUUAUGUCCUAUCACAAUGCUUUAAUUACUUCAAUAGAAAACCCUAACUUCCCUGGUUCUAAAUUAGUUAUAAAGCAUGCAGAGUUCACAUCCAGAACCUUUAGGUACUUCAACUGUUAACAAACCAAACCACAAAGGAAAAACUGACACCCAAGAUCAGAUUUAUAAUAGAUGCAAAAGUAUACACAGCAAGCAAAGCCAAACAUGGUAAGAGUUAGAAAUGAUACAAAACUCCCCCCCCACCAAAAUUUCUAGUAAUAAGCUUAUUCCUCUUUCCUACUGCCCAAUCUUAUAUAAAAGAUUAUUAGCACAAAUAAAGUAACAAAUCCUAAUUCACAAACUGCUAGAAUUUGUGACUCAUGGGUCCAACUCUUGAUUUCCAUCCUCGAAGCAGGAACCUACUCCCUAGGCAAGAUGGCCCUGUAGCUAACAAACAUAGCCCACUGGAAAAAGAAAACAAACAUCUUCCCUAAACAUAACAGCACCUGAGCUGUAAGGAAUGUUUUGUAUCUACAAAGCACUUUUACAAACAUCUCACUUGGCCCUCUUUCUGUUCCUCAGCUCAUCUGCAUCUUGGGGCCUUUGUACCAGCUGCUCCUUCUUUCUCCCCAGUCUCUGCAUGCCCACCUAUCCCCUUGUGGCCCUCACGUCACCACAAACUUCAUAUUCCUCAGUGUUUUUGUAGUUCACAGCCUGCAACCACUGUGCUGAAAAAGGAGAUAAAAGCCCAGAAACUGAAACUUGCUCAAGAUCACAGUAGUGAUGUAGUCAUUACUUCAGAGGUCAACAUUUUCUGACACGCUAAAAAUUUUAAACACAUUUUCAGUUAUAAAAGAUUUAAAAUAAAGAGGUUCACCAAGUUCUCCUUAUGAAAACAUUCUACAAUAUGUUUUAUUUCAGGAACUGACAUUCAGUCUCAUCUUGUACUAAACACUUCCCUCCCAGUUUUAAAAAGCACAGUAAAAGGCAAUCUGAGAAAAAGUUUUGUAUCUGAAAAAUCUUCUACAGUGAUUAGCAAAGAACUAAAAAUUAACCAGAGGCAAACCAGAAGCUAAUCUGCAUUACCUGGGAACUUAUGGAGAGGUGAUAGUGCUAGACCCAGGUUCCCAUAUAAAUAGACCCUUUAAAUCAGUCUAUUCAGUGUUGCACAUAACAAUGCCCUCAUGGAGAGUAACAUUCACUAUAAUUCUUACUUCUACUGAGUGGAAUGUUUAGGUGAGAAAAAUAUUAAACACCAAAGCAUAAUCAUAUAGGAUAUUCUUCAGUUCCUGAAUUCGCUGAGAAAAUAAUUAUUUAAUACCUACAGAUAUGCUCCCAUGUGCUUGAAACCCUAAUUUAAUGAGGGCAAAAUGAAAGCCAAACAAUGUGAACAAAGGUUUCAGCAGCAGUUCAAAUGGAGAAAAAGUUGAGAGUGAGUUAUCACAGUCACAUAUCUUUAAAACAUGACAAACACAUAAGAAUCUGCAGAUUGAAUGUCAGCAUUUAUACUGCAUGUAUCAAUUUAGUUUUUCAAGCUUUAUUCAAACUAAC